UACGUAGGGGGCUAGCGUUGUCCGGAAUCAUUGGGCGUAAAGAGCGCGUAGGCGGCCAGAUAAGUCCGGUGUGAAAGUCAGAGGCUCAACCUUUGAAUGCCGCUGGAAACUGUCUGGCUAGAGUCCGGAAGGGGCGAGUGGAAUUCCUGGUGUAGCGGUGAAAUGCGCAGAUAUCAGGAGGAACACCAAUGGCGAAGGCAGCUCGCUGGAACGGUACUGACGCUGAGGCGCGAAAGCGUGGGGAGCGAACGGG
RNAcentral lists this ribosomal RNA (253 nucleotides) under uncultured bacterium. RNAcentral describes it as "partial 16S ribosomal RNA". It matches the Rfam family "Bacterial small subunit ribosomal RNA", at positions 524 to 776 of the family's 1533-position model. The record is from RNAcentral.